UACGGAGAGUGCAAGCGUUGUUCGGAAUUACUGGGCGUAAAGCGCGUGUAGGCGGCCGCGUAAGUCCGACGUGAAAGCCCGGGGCUCAACCACGGAAUUGCGUUUGAUACUGCUUAGCUUGAGUACAGGAGAGGAAAGCGGAAUUCCCAGUGUAGCGGUGAAAUGCAUUGAUAUUGGGAAGAACAUCUGUGGCGAAGGCGGCUUUCUGGUCUGUUACUGACGCUGAGAUACGAAAGCCAGGGUAGCGAACGGG
This 253-nucleotide ribosomal RNA is filed under the name uncultured bacterium. RNAcentral's name for it is "partial 16S ribosomal RNA". It matches the Rfam family "Bacterial small subunit ribosomal RNA", at positions 524 to 776 of the family's 1533-position model. The record is from RNAcentral.